RNAcentral lists this ribosomal RNA (505 nucleotides) under uncultured bacterium. RNAcentral describes it as "partial 16S ribosomal RNA". It matches the Rfam family "Bacterial small subunit ribosomal RNA", at positions 28 to 507 of the family's 1533-position model. The record is from RNAcentral.
GACGAACGCUGGCGGCGUGCCUAAUACAUGCAAGUAGAACGCACAGUUUAUACCGUAGCUUGCUACACCAUAGACUGUGAGUUGCGAACGGGUGAGUAACGCGUAGGUAACCUGCCUGGUAGCGGGGGAUAACUAUUGGAAACGAUAGCUAAUACCGCAUAAUAUUGAUUAUUGCAUGAUAAUUAAUUGAAAGGUGCAAUUGCACCACUACCAGCUGGACCUGCGUUGUAUUAGCUAGUAGGUGAGGUAACGGCUCACCUAGGCGACGAUACAUAGCCGACCUGGGAGGGUGAUCGGCCACACUGGGACUGAGACACGGGCCAGACUCCUACGGGAGGCAGCAGUAGGGAAUCUUCGGCAAUGGACGAAAGUCUGACCGGGCAACGCCGCGGGAGUGAAGAAGGUUUUCGGAUCGUAAAGCUCUGUUGUAAGAGAAGAACGGAUGUGAGAGUGGAAAGUUCACACUGUGACGGUAUCUUACCAGAAAGGGACGGCUAACUACGUG